RNAcentral lists this ribosomal RNA (693 nucleotides) under Cupriavidus sp. Its description in RNAcentral is "bacterial SSU rRNA". It matches the Rfam family "Bacterial small subunit ribosomal RNA", at positions 389 to 1072 of the family's 1533-position model. Lineage: Bacteria; Pseudomonadati; Pseudomonadota; Betaproteobacteria; Burkholderiales; Burkholderiaceae. The record is from RNAcentral.
CAGCAUGCCGCGUGUGUGAGAAGGCCUUCGGGUUGUAAAGCACUGUUUGUCCGGAAAGAAAUGGCUCUGGUUAAUACCCGGGGUCGAUGACGGUACCGGAAGAAUAAGCACCGGCUAACUACGUGCCAGCAGCCGCGGUAAUACGUAGGGUGCGAGCGUUAAUCGGAAUUACUGGGCGUAAAGCGUGCGCAGGCGGUUUUGUAAGACAGGCGUGAAAUCCCCGAGCUCAACUUGGGAAUGGCGCUUGUGACUGCAAGGCUAGAGUAUGUCAGAGGGGGGUAGAAUUCCACGUGUAGCAGUGAAAUGCGUAGAGAUGUGGAGGAAUACCGAUGGCGAAGGCAGCCCCCUGGGACGUCACUGACGCUCAUGCACGAAAGCGUGGGGAGCAAACAGGAUUAGAUACCCUGGUAGUCCACGCCCUAAACGAUGUCAACUAGUUGUUGGGGAUUCAUUUCUUCAGUAACGUAGCUAACGCGUGAAGUUGACCGCCUGGGGAGUACGGUCGCAAGAUUAAAACUCAAAGGAAUUGACGGGGACCCGCACAAGCGGUGGAUGAUGUGGAUUAAUUCGAUGCAACGCGAAAAACCUUACCUACCCUUGACAUGCCACUAACGACGCAGAGAUGCAUUAGGUGCCCGAAAGGGAAAGUGGACACAGGUGCUGCAUGGCUGUCAUCAGCUCGUGCCCGUGAGA